UUAGUUGUAGCAGCUCAAGCUGUUGUAAAUCCUGCCCACUUCUUUGCAUCAUCAGCACAUGCUUCAGUGCUCUGAGAGAGUUUAUAGAGCUGUGAGUUUAACACUUCAUGACUGAGAGCAGAACAGAACACAAUCUUCAUCAUCACACAAGACACAACAACAACAAUGAACAACAUCAUCAUCCUCAUCUGGACUCUCACACUGUUUGCUCAAGAGUGUAGAGGACAGAUCACUGUAACUCAGAGUCCAUCAAUAACAGCAGCUCUACCAGGACAAGAAGUCAGAAUAAACUGUAAAACCAGCAGUAAUGUGUACAGUGAUAGUAAUGGGUCAAGGAUGGCCUGGUAUUUACAGAAACCUGGAGAAGCUCCUAAACUCCUCAUAUAUCUUGCAUCAACCCGUUACACUGGAACUUCAUCUAGAUUCAGUGGCAGUGGAUCUAACAGUGAUUUCACUCUGACCAUCAGUGGAGUCCAGACUGAAGAUACAGGAGAUUAUUACUGUCAGAGUGCACACUAUAUCAGUAGUAGCUAUGUGUUCACACAGUGAUAAAGAGUCGUACAAAAACCUCUGUC
Non-coding RNA from Carassius carassius (crucian carp), 575 nucleotides. Lineage: Eukaryota; Metazoa; Chordata; Actinopteri; Cypriniformes; Cyprinidae. The record is from the annotation of a RefSeq genome assembly.